UCCUUCUCCACGCGCGCCUCCCCGCCCAAUUCUCGCGCACAUAUUUUGAGAAGAGGCCCAUAGGUCAAUAACCCUAUGCUGCCUCAUACAGUUCACCGAAUCCCACUGGCGAGCCACCCCAUCCUCAUCUUCCCCAAAUUACCGUGCGCGCCGGGUUCCCCGCCUCCCAGAUCUGCUUCGCACACUCCCCCUUUUCCAGAAUCACAGCAGGACCGCCGCUCCAAAUCUUCAUUAGGACGCCCAUCUCCCUGCAGACCGCCGCUCUCCUUCUCCCUUGCAGGUCGCCGUGCCGCCCUGGUGCCUGGCGAGGCUGCUGCAGCCCCCAGCGCCACGUCGAGAGGCUGCGGCGGCCCCGACGCCGCCAGAAGGUCUCCGCCCCCACACGCCCUAGCACUGCUGCGCUCCAACGCAGCAGACCCCGCCAGUGCCGCCUCCACGAUGCCGCCACCCCCACGCCGCCCUGGUGCAGGUUCGCCCCGAUGCAGAAAGCCUCUACGCUGGCGCCAUCUCGGGAGACCUCCCAAACGCAGCUGCCCCAUUAGGACUACUCCCCAUCAGGAUUCAUUUGCUCUGAAUCCCCCCGUGCAGGGGACUGAUGGGCUACAUGUAACUUCAUUGCUAUCAAGUGAUGAAAUCCAGGCUCUGCCCAUGGGAGAAUAUUUUGCCUGAUGGCAAAAGAAGAGGAAAGGAUGGCAAGGCGUGAUGUGGAAAUCAUGUACAGAAUAGCGGUGGUGCUAUACACAAUUUAGGUUUCAGAGUGUUAGUGUGCUAUAUUUCUUAACAUUUGUUCUUCAAAUUCUUUUAAUUCUAAUGUUUCAUAUAGAGCCCAAGGUUUGAAGAACAUGAUGAUGAGGCACAAUCCACUACUAGAAAAGAGGGCUUUAGUACCGUUCGAGAAUCCCCGGUUUGUACCGGUUUUCUGACCGGUACCGCCCGGUCAGUACUAAAUGUGCCAGCAUUUAGUACCGGCCAGGCCGACCGGUACUACCAACUGGUACUAAACUGUAUGCUACAUCGCCACUCCUGGUGUAGCAGGUUUGUACCGGUUGGUUUUACCAACCAGUACUAAGUGUUUUUUUGUUUUUUUCCUUUUAAUCAUGUUUCUCCUCUUUUUAUUUUAGUUUUAGUUAAUUAGUAUUCGUAUUUGUAGUUAUUUGCGUAUUUGUAUUCGUAUCUAGCAUUUAUAUAUAUUUGUUCGCGCAAAGCAAAAGCAAUUAUAUAUAUUAUAUUGAUAUACACUUCAUUAAUUACAAUUACUUA
Long non-coding RNA from Panicum virgatum (switchgrass), 1260 nucleotides. RefSeq lists it as uncharacterized. The transcript is spliced from 2 exons. The record is from RefSeq and is a predicted model, not a curated record. NCBI's taxonomy places the organism in Eukaryota, Viridiplantae, Streptophyta, Magnoliopsida, Poales, Poaceae.